This 795-nucleotide ribosomal RNA is filed under the name uncultured bacterium. RNAcentral describes it as "bacterial SSU rRNA". It matches the Rfam family "Bacterial small subunit ribosomal RNA", at positions 8 to 797 of the family's 1533-position model. The record is from RNAcentral.
AGAGUUUGAUCAUGGCUCAGAUUGAACGCUGGCGGCAUGCUUUACACAUGCAAGUCGAGCGGAGAGAAGUAGCUUGCUACUGAUCUUAGCGGCGGACGGGUGAGUAAUGCUUAGGAAUCUGCCUAUUAGUGGGGGACAACAUCUCGAAAGGGAUGCUAAUACCGCAUACGCCCUACGGGGGAAAGCAGGGGAUCUUCGGACCUUGUGCUAAUAGAUGAGCCUAAGUCGGAUUAGCUAGUUGGUGGGGUAAAGGCCUACCAAGGCGACGAUCUGUAGCGGGUCUGAGAGGAUGAUCCGCCACACUGGGACUGAGACACGGCCCAGACUCCUACGGGAGGCAGCAGUGGGGAAUAUUGGACAAUGGGCGCAAGCCUGAUCCAGCCAUGCCGCGUGUGUGAAGAAGGCCUUUUGGUUGUAAAGCACCUUAAGCGAGGAGGAGGCUACUCUAGUUAAUACCUAGGGAUAGUGGACGUUACUCGCAGAAUAAGCACCGGCUAACUCUGUGCCAGCAGCCGCGGUAAUACAGAGGGUGCGAGCGUUAAUCGGAUUUACUGGGCGUAAAGCGUGCGUAGGCGGCUGAUUAAGUCGGAUGUGAAAUCCCUGAGCUUAACUUAGGAAUUGCAUUCGAUACUGGUCAGCUAGAGUAUGGGAGAGGAUGGUAGAAAUCCAGGUGUAGCGGUGAAAUGCGUAGAGAUCUGGAGGAAUACCGAUGGCGAAGGCAGCCAUCUGGCCUAAUACUGACGCUGAGGUACGAAAGCAUGGGGAGCAAACAGGAUUAGAUACCCUGGUAGUCCA